AGCAGCCGCGGUAAUUCCAGCUCCAAUAGCGUAUAUUAAAGUUGUUGCAGUUAAAAAGCUCGUAGUUGAAUUUCGGGAUCAAUAUGCUGGUCGUGCCAUUGGUACGUACUAGUAUUAUUGGUUUCUCCUUUCUGAUGAAUCAUGAUGUCAUUAAUUUGAUGUCAUGAGGAAUCAGGACUGUUACUUUGAAAAAUUAGAGUGUUUAAAGCAGGCUCGCGCUUGAAUACAUUAGCAUGGAAUAAUGAAAUAGGAUGUUUGAUUCUAUUUUGUUGGUUUCUAGGAUUGACGUAAUGAUUAAUAGGGAUAGUUGGGGGCAUUAGUAUUCAAUUGUCAGAGGUGAAAUUCUUGGAUUUAUUGAAGACUAACUACUGCGAAAGCAUUUGCCAAGGAUGUUUUCAUUAAUCAAGAACGAAAGUUAGGGGAUCGAAGACGAUCAGAUACCGUCGUAGUCUUAACCAUAAACUAUGCCGACUAGGGAUCGGAUGAUGUUAAUUUUU
Molecule: unclassified non-coding RNA, 497 nt
Filed under: uncultured Glomus
Lineage: Eukaryota; Fungi; Glomeromycota; Glomeromycetes; Glomerales; Glomeraceae
Description: SSU rRNA
Rfam family: Eukaryotic small subunit ribosomal RNA
Source: RNAcentral